Magallana angulata is the source of this 352-nucleotide long non-coding RNA. RefSeq lists it as uncharacterized. Lineage: Eukaryota; Metazoa; Mollusca; Bivalvia; Ostreida; Ostreidae. The transcript has 3 exons. The record is from RefSeq and is a predicted model, not a curated record.
AUCGUUUUGAUGUAUAUCCUUUGGAGAAAUGUCCAAAGAAUGCACAUGAGUUUGAGACAGCAGCAAAAAGAAAAAAUUGUACCGAAAACUCACGAUACCUGUGUGCUCCAGAUAAAUACCUCUCAAAUCUGAUUGAAUUCUGCACAGACCGACCAGUAUCUCUUUUUAAAAAUGGUCAUUGUGUACGACUUGAGGGAACAGGCGACCUGAACCAUUAUCGAUGUGAGGAUAAGUUCCAAAUGGGUUGUCCAACGGAGCCGUACACCGAUGAAGAAAUAUUUAAAUAUCCAGCUUGCCUUGAAAUCAACAUCCGAUUCCAUUGUUUUGCUGCUGAUAAAGAUUGCCCAGAAAG